AGAGUUUGAUCAUGGCUCAGGAUGAACGCUAGCUACAGGCUUAACACAUGCAAGUCGAGGGGCAGCAUGAACUUAGCUUGCUAAGUUUGAUGGCGACCGGCGCACGGGUGAGUAACACGUAUCCAACCUGCCGAUGACUCGGGGAUAGCCUUUCGAAAGAAAGAUUAAUACCCGAUGGCAUAGUUCUUCCGCAUGGUGGAACUAUUAAAGAAUUUCGGUCAUCGAUGGGGAUGCGUUCCAUUGGG
RNAcentral lists this ribosomal RNA (245 nucleotides) under uncultured bacterium. RNAcentral describes it as "partial 16S ribosomal RNA". It matches the Rfam family "Bacterial small subunit ribosomal RNA", at positions 8 to 245 of the family's 1533-position model. The record is from RNAcentral.